UAGGGAAUCUUCCGCAAUGGGCGAAAGCCUGACGGAGCAACGCCGCGUGAGUGAUGAAGGUCUUCGGAUCGUAAAACUCUGUUAUUAGGGAAGAACAAAUGUGUAAGUAACUAUGCACGUCUUGACGGUACCUAAUCAGAAAGCCACGGCUAACUACGUGCCAGCAGCCGCGGUAAUACGUAGGUGGCAAGCGUUAUCCGGAAUUAUUGGGCGUAAAGCGCGCGUAGGCGGUUUUUUAAGUCUGAUGUGAAAGCCCACGGCUCAACCGUGGAGGGUCAUUGGAAACUGGAAAACUUGAGUGCAGAAGAGGAAAGUGGAAUUCCAUGUGUAGCGGUGAAAUGCGCAAAGAUAUGGCGGAACACCAGUGGCGAAGGCGACUUUCUGGUCUGUAACUGACGCUGAUGUGCGAAAGCGUGGGGAUCAAACAGG
RNAcentral lists this ribosomal RNA (429 nucleotides) under Actinomycetes bacterium. Its description in RNAcentral is "Actinobacteria bacterium partial 16S ribosomal RNA". It matches the Rfam family "Bacterial small subunit ribosomal RNA", at positions 355 to 776 of the family's 1533-position model. The record is from RNAcentral. Lineage: Bacteria; Bacillati; Actinomycetota; Actinomycetes.